CAGUCGGGGAUCUUGCUCAAUGGGGGAAACCCUGAAGCAGCAACGCCGCGUGGGGGAUGUAGGUUUUCGGAUUGUAAACUUCUUUUGUUAGAGAAGAUUAUGUCGGUAUCUAAAGAAUAAGCACCGGCCAACUCCGUGCCAGCAGCCGCGGUCAUACGGAGGGUGCAAGCGUUACUCGGAAUCACUGGGCGUAAAGAGCGCGUAGGCGGGAUAGCAAGUCAGGUGUGAAAUCCUAUGGCUUAACCAUAGAACUGCAUUUGAAAAUGUUAUUCUAGAGUAUGGGAGAGGUAGGUGGAAUCUUGGUGUAGGGGUAAAAUCCGUAGAGAUCAAGAGGAAUACUCAUUGCGAAGGCGACCUGCUAGAACAUAACUGACGCUGAUGCGCGAAAGCGUGGGGAGCAAACAGGAUUAGAUACCCCUGUAGUC
Molecule: ribosomal RNA, 425 nt
Filed under: uncultured bacterium
Lineage: Bacteria
Description: partial 16S ribosomal RNA
Rfam family: Bacterial small subunit ribosomal RNA
Source: RNAcentral